UACGGAGGGAGCUAGCGUUGUUCGGAAUUACUGGGCGUAAAGCGCACGUAGGCGGCUAUUCAAGUCAGAGGUGAAAGCCCGGGGCUCAACCCCGGAACUGCCUUUGAAACUAGAUAGCUAGAAUCUUGGAGAGGUCAGUGGAAUUCCGAGUGUAGAGGUGAAAUUCGUAGAUAUUGGGAAGAACACCAGUGGCGAAGGCGGCUCACUGGCCCGUAACUGACGCUGAGGUGCGAAAGCGUGGGGAGCAAACAGGG
This 254-nucleotide ribosomal RNA is filed under the name uncultured bacterium. Its description in RNAcentral is "partial 16S ribosomal RNA". It matches the Rfam family "Bacterial small subunit ribosomal RNA", at positions 524 to 777 of the family's 1533-position model. The record is from RNAcentral.